RNAcentral lists this transfer RNA (73 nucleotides) under Ailuropoda melanoleuca (giant panda). It matches the Rfam family "tRNA". From Rfam's summary of the family: Transfer RNA (tRNA) molecules are approximately 80 nucleotides in length. Their secondary structure includes four short double-helical elements and three loops (D, anti-codon, and T loops). Lineage: Eukaryota; Metazoa; Chordata; Mammalia; Carnivora; Ursidae. The record is from Rfam by way of RNAcentral.
GCCUGGUUGGCUCAGUCAGUGGAGCAUGUGACUCCUGAUCUCAGGGUUGUGGGUUCGAGCCCCACGCUGGGUG